Molecule: transfer RNA, 73 nt
Organism: Ovis aries (sheep)
Lineage: Eukaryota; Metazoa; Chordata; Mammalia; Artiodactyla; Bovidae
Rfam family: tRNA
About the family: Transfer RNA (tRNA) molecules are approximately 80 nucleotides in length. Their secondary structure includes four short double-helical elements and three loops (D, anti-codon, and T loops). Further hydrogen bonds mediate the characteristic L-shaped molecular structure. tRNAs have two regions of fundamental functional importance: the anti-codon, which is responsible for specific mRNA codon recognition, and the 3' end, to which the tRNAs corresponding amino acid is attached (by aminoacyl-tRNA synthetases). tRNAs cope with the degeneracy of the genetic code in two manners: having more than one tRNA (with a specific anti-codon) for a particular amino acid; and 'wobble' base-pairing, i.e. permitting non-standard base-pairing at the 3rd anti-codon position.
Source: Rfam
CCCUUGAUGGUCCACUUGUUAGGACUCUGUGCUUCCAAUGCAGGGGACACAGGUUCAAUCCCUGGUCAGGGAA